GAUGAACGCUGGCGGCGUGCCUAAUACAUGCAAGUCGAGCGAACGGACGAGAAGCUUGCUUUUCUGAUGUUAGCGGCGGACGGGUGAGUAACACGUGGAUAACCUACCUAUAAGACUGGGAUAACUUCGGGAAACCGGAGCUAAUACCGGAUAAUAUUUUGAACCGCAUGGUUCAAAAGUGAAAGACGGUCUUGCUGUCACUUAUAGAUGGAUCCGCGCUGCAUUAGCUAGUUGGUAAGGUAACGGCUUACCAAGGCAACGAUGCAUAGCCGACCUGAGAGGGUGAUCGGCCACACUGGAACUGAGACACGGUCCAGACUCCUACGGGAGGCAGCAGUAGGGAAUCUUCCGCAAUGGGCGAAAGCCUGACGGAGCAAUGCCGCGUGAGUGAUGAAGGUCUUCGGAUCGUAAAACUCUGUUAUUAGGGAAGAACAUAUGUGUAAGUAACUGUGCACAUCUUGACGGUACCUAACCAGAAAGCCACGGCUAACUACGUG
RNAcentral lists this ribosomal RNA (497 nucleotides) under uncultured bacterium. RNAcentral's name for it is "partial 16S ribosomal RNA". It matches the Rfam family "Bacterial small subunit ribosomal RNA", at positions 28 to 507 of the family's 1533-position model. The record is from RNAcentral.